CUUCGGUUAUGCCUGUUGUACUCUGUGAUGACUCUGGAUAACUUCACUGAUCGCAGUCGGCCUUGUGUCGGCGACGGAUCUUUCAAAUGUCUGCCCUAUCAACUGUCGAUGGUAGGUGACCUGCCUACCAUGGUGAUAACGGGUAACGGGGAAUCAGGGUUCGAUUCCGGAGAGGGAGCCUGAGAAACGGCUACCACUUCUAAGGAAGGCAGCAGGCGCGAAAAUUACCCACUCCCGGCACGGGGAGGUAGUGACGAAAAAUACGAAUACGGGACUCAACUGAGGCUCCGUAAUUCGAAUGAGUACACUUUAAAUCCUUUAACGAGGACCAAUUGGAGGGCAAGUCUGGUGCCAGCAGCCGCGGUAACUCCAGCUCCAAAAGCGUAUAUUAAAGUUGCUGCAGUUAAAAAGCUCGUAGUUGGAUCUGGGUGGUGUGGCGACAUGCCGUUGCUCGUGCUACUGCCUAGACUACGGUCUUGGUGGGAGUGCGGGUCGGUGUAGUUGCCGUGCAACC
This 514-nucleotide ribosomal RNA is filed under the name Brachylaima arcuatum. RNAcentral's name for it is "SSU rRNA". It matches the Rfam family "Eukaryotic small subunit ribosomal RNA", at positions 220 to 728 of the family's 1831-position model. The record is from RNAcentral. Lineage: Eukaryota; Metazoa; Platyhelminthes; Trematoda; Diplostomida; Brachylaimidae.